UGGACCAAUCACUGACCCAGUUUGCACGAGGGGCAUGCCGCACAAUAGGAUUGGUUGAUUUAAUCUCUGGCGUCCUUUUUCAAAUUUGUGUUACGUUAAACCCUGGCGAUGAGCAUCUCUUACCAGUCGCAAAACGUAAACAGUCUCGGCACUUACAUCGAGUAGUUUACACCGGGGGAAAGAACAAAUAGAGGUCAGUUUACAGGUUGAAAAACCCGUAAAGGGUCAAGUUCAACUAAGAUGUUCAACCAGGGUGUAAAGGCUCUUCUCAGCUGGGUCAGUGCCAGUCACUCUGAAGAAGUGACCAUCAAUGAUUUACAGGAUGGGCUUGUCCUGCUGAAACUCAUUAAUAUGAUGUAA
Molecule: long non-coding RNA, 360 nt
Filed under: Oryzias javanicus (javanese ricefish)
Lineage: Eukaryota; Metazoa; Chordata; Actinopteri; Beloniformes; Adrianichthyidae
Description: lncRNA (ENSOJAG00000005940.1)
Source: RNAcentral